UCGGGAAUUUUGGGCAAUGGGCGAAAGCCUGACCCAGCAACGCCGCGUGAGGGAUGAAGGCCCUCGGGUCGUAAACCUCUGUCGGGAGGGAAGAACGGUUGCCGUUCGAACAGGACGGCAGCCUGACGGUACCUCCAAAGGAAGCACCGGCUAACUCCGUGCCAGCAGCCGCGGUAAUACGGAGGGUGCGAGCGUUGUUCGGAAUCAUUGGGCGUAAAGCGCGUGUAGGCGGCUUGGUAAGUCGGGUGUGAAAUCCCGGGGCCCAACCCGGAACUGCAUUCGAAACUGCCUCGCUAGAGUCCCGGAGAGGAAGGCGGAAUUCCCGGUGUAGAGGUGAAAUUCGUAGAUAUCGGGAGGAACACCAGCGGCGAAGGCGGCCUUCUGGACGGUGACUGACGCUGAGACGCGAAAGCGUGGGGAGCAAACAGGAUUAGAUACCCUGGUAGUCCACGCCGUAAACGUUGGGUGCUAGGUGUCGCGGGUAUU
RNAcentral lists this ribosomal RNA (486 nucleotides) under uncultured Pseudomonadota bacterium. RNAcentral's name for it is "bacterial SSU rRNA". It matches the Rfam family "Bacterial small subunit ribosomal RNA", at positions 355 to 833 of the family's 1533-position model. Lineage: Bacteria; Pseudomonadati; Pseudomonadota. The record is from RNAcentral.